Molecule: ribosomal RNA, 433 nt
Filed under: uncultured bacterium
Lineage: Bacteria
Description: partial 16S ribosomal RNA
Rfam family: Bacterial small subunit ribosomal RNA
Source: RNAcentral
AACGAACGCUGGCGGCAUGCCUAACACAUGCAAGUCGAACGAUGCCUUCGGGCAUAGUGGCGCACGGGUGCGUAACGCGUGGGAAUCUGCCUUUCGGUUCGGAAUAACUCAGGGAAACUUGAGCUAAUACAGGAUAACGUCGCAAGACCAAAGAUUUAUCACCGAAAGAUGAGCCCGCGUAAGAUUAGAUAGUUGGUGAGGUAAAGGCACACCAAGGCGACGAUCCUUAGCUGGUCUGAGCGGAUGCUCAGCCACACUGGGAAUGAGACACGGCGCAGAUUCCUACGGGAAGCAGCAGAAGGGAAUCUUGAACAAUAGCCUAAAGCCUGAUCCAGCCAUGCCGCGUGAGUGAUGAAGGACUUAGGGUUGUAAAGAACUUUUACCCGGGAAGAUAAUGACGGUACCGAGAGAAUAAGCCCCGGCUAACUCCGUG